Molecule: RNA transcript, 3553 nt
Organism: Tupaia belangeri chinensis (Chinese tree shrew)
Lineage: Eukaryota; Metazoa; Chordata; Mammalia; Scandentia; Tupaiidae
Gene: GPR146
Gene name: G protein-coupled receptor 146
Exons: 3
Source: RefSeq, a predicted model, not a curated record
GGCGGCGUGCGCGCCGUGAGCCCCGCCGCCUCCCCGGAGCCCGGAGCUGCCCGCUCGGAGCUGCCCGCCCGGCGGCGACUGCGCGGGCCGCCACUCAGCUAGCUGAACCACGGAGCCUGGGCCAGGCCACCAUGUGGGACUGUGGCCUGCUCAAUGGGACAGGGCAGAGCGCAGACCAGGAGGCCUGCCAGGACCUGCACCUGGGGCUGUCAGUGUUGGCGCUGCUCUACCUGGCCGUGGGCUUCCCAGUGGGCCUAUGCUACAAUGCCCUGCUGGUGCUAGUCAACCUGUACAACAAGCGCAGCAUGACCAUGCCGGAUGUGUACUUUGUGAACAUGGCUGUGGCAGGCUUGGUCCUCAAUGCCCUGGCCCCUGUGUACCUGCUGGGCCCCCCCAAUGCCCGCUGGGCCCUAUGGAGUGUCAGCAGUGAGGUGCAUGUCACACUGCUGGUCCUCUUCAAUGUCUCAGCUCUGGUGAUCAUGUACUCCACCACCCUGCUUAGCCUCGACUACUACAUCGAACGCGCCCUGCCGCGUACCUACAUGGCCAGUGUGUACAACACCCGGCACGUGUGUGGCUUUGUCUGGGGUGGGGCCCUGCUGACCAGCUUUUCAUCCCUGCUCUUCUACAUCUGCAGCCAUGUGUCCUCCAGGGUUGUUGAGUGCUCCAAGAUGCAGAACACAGAGGCUGCUGACGCCAUCAUGGUGCUCAUUGGGUUUGCAGUGCCAGCCCUUGCUGUUCUGUAUGCACUGGUGCUCAUCUCGCGGAUCCGGAAGGAAGACACACCCCUUGACCAGGAUGUGGGGAGGCUGGACCCUUCAGUGCACAGGCUUCUGGUAGCCACUGUGUGCACACAGUUUGGACUCUGGACGCCUUACUACCUGACUCUCCUCGGCCACACGGUUCUAGUCUCGCAAGGGAAGCCUGUGGAUGGGCACUACAUGGGGAUAGUGCACUUUGCUAAGGAUUUGUCGAAAUUCUUGGCUUUCUCUAGUAGCUUUGUAAUGCCACUUCUUUACCGCUACAUCAACAAAAACUUCCCUAACAAGCUCCGGCGGUUGAUAAAGAAAAUGCACUGCGGGCCCCGGCGUUGUCCCCCUGACCAGACAGGGGUUCAGCAGGUGAUGACGUAGACACAGUCUGAUGCUGGGACCACCUGAGCUCACGGAAGCAACUGUCACACCUGGGAGCACUGAGGCGGUGGCAAAUGAGCUAAGGCUUCUGCCCUCCUCCCUCCUCCCACUGGGGUCUCUCAUCCGGGAGUCAAGAUGACCACGAGGUAACUGAAGUUCAGCUGGAUGCAUAGCACUUUGUUUCCUUGGCCACUAGAGCGUGUUCUUCCCCAGAAACAGAUGUGCUGAGGCAAGAACAGGACAAGGGGUGUUUUUCUUGAAGUAUUCUAUGUGUUUCCCAAAAAGGCCAACUUCAGGCCAAGGCCACGUUCAAAGCGACAGGUCGGCAUGUGAAGAAUACACUGCGUUCUUAGUACUGACCUGCUCUCUCCUUCAGGUGUGUGCAUUUCUCCUGAGUACACAUCUCGAAGGCCCACGUUCUCAAACUAUUAUAUUUACCUUCCGCCUCCUCAACAUUAAGCUUUCUAAAUGAAGUGAUGAACACCUAAAGCCAGUAUUUAUACUUUGUUUGCAAUGUUAAAAUACUUGAUUUCUCCCUCCCGUUUUUGUUUUUGGUUUUGGUUUUGAUUUUUUUUUUUUAAAGAGAUGUUCAACAGAAAAUUAAAAUGAAGGCGACAAUACAAAGGCCUGCCAGGAGGAGACUGGGUGGAUGGAUGCUGCUGUCACAUGCUGUGCUGUUGGUGAUGCAGCUAUGCACGGAGUAAGGACGGCAGGCCAGCAGGGCCUGCCACAGUCACACACAGGAGUUAUUAAAAUAUUUUUUUAAGCAUCAGGGAUGUGGCUGGUCUUAAACAAGGAGUAAUUAAGUAGCAACUGAAGCUCUCUCAUCUACUAAAUGUACUUGAAACCACCUCCCCCCCCAUGACUCCCAGAUAUCAGCUGAUUUUUCUUUUUUCACUAUGGAGCUUUCUAAAUCAGUUUCCCAAACUGCAAAACUAAAGAAUAUAUGAAGAAAGGGAAAAAAAAGUUAGGAUAUCUAACUUAAUAUUGAAGCUAAAAGGGCCUCCCCUGGGGAAGAGGUCUAGAUGUUGGGGGAAGAGUCACUCUCAGUUCAACAAGAAGGGACAGGACACAAGCUGGCUACCCAAGAUGGCCAGGGCCCAACAUCUCUCCUUUGCUUAGAUCCUCUAUGCUUACAGGGACAGAUAGCCCAGAUGGGCCUGUUGCACUCAGAGAUGCAUGUGGAUGUCAGCCAGAAGGUGGUGCAAGUGAGGCACCUCCCUCACAGGCCAGGCACAGAGGUGUUGGCAAUCUAAGCCAAUUAUUUGCCUCAUCCACCCAGCUCUAGACAUUCUACCAUCCCAGUUUUUGUAAGCCUCCUCAAACUGUCCAUUCACCUCUACCCAGUUCGCUAGGACUAAAUUACAGGCCCAUAGUCCCCCAAUCCUUAAACCCAAGAAGGCUGUGAAAAUGAGAUUCCCCAAUGCCAAGUUUGCAGCAGAUUCAUUUGCUAGCAAGUCCUGACUGAAAUGAUGUGAGGUACUUUCUUGACCUGCUGUUUCUGAAGGAAGGCUAAUAUGACUGUGGUGUGCUGCUGGCUCAUGGUAUUCUGAGAUACAUGAUACAUAUACAGCAUAUUUUUUUUCUGACAACCUGAAAACAUCUGAAUUCUGAAAUAUGCCUGGUCCCCAGGACUGCAGAGCACAGCUCUGCACUUUGUGGCCACCGUACGUGGUGACCUCAUACUCGUCCUGGUCUCUUGAGGAAUUUAGUUAUGAAUUAGUUGUCCUAUUUAUUACAUUUGAACCAUAGCUCCUCAAAGCAUGAGGUGACUGAGUUAGAGUUUGCCUGUGAAGUAUGAUGAAAAUACACUGGACACUAUAGCUGCUGCUGUGAUAACUGCCCUAGUAGCUGUGACAUGCUGAGGAGUCAGCUUCCUUAUCUGUAGACUAUGGGGCUAAAUGGAAAGACAAUUUUCUGAAUUGUUUCUGAAAUUUCUGCUGAAGGUAUGCCAGGGUCUCAUUCAAAUCUUGAAAGCUGCAGCCUGACUUUCCUUCCCGAGCACAGAGCUGGCCAUUUCUCUGAGGUACAGUCUCCAGAGUUUCCCAUCCAGUUGUUACACUUGAAAACCUAGGUGUUCACUGAAGAACCAGUACCGAAAUCCAGCCUGGCCCGACAGUGGAUGGCUUGCUGGUGUUUAACUCUGCCAUUCUCUUAGAAAUGAACAGGCCUGGGGGCAGGAUCAAGCCAAGGGCAGAUAGACUUUCUAGUCAGUAGAGGAAAAAGGAUCUAGACAGGCAUGACCAGUUUGUGGUGGUGGUGUCAUGCUGAAAAUAAGAGACUCUUCCUUGCUGCUAUUUCCUGCACCUUUUGCCCAGCCAGAGUUCCUGGGAAAGGGGCAGAUGUCACAAACAGAUCAGAAUAGCCACUGAGAUCUCUCUGACCCUGCCUCGAAAUACCACUACCCAACUAGUCUGCCC